This 21-nucleotide microRNA is filed under the name Arabidopsis thaliana (thale cress). Its description in RNAcentral is "ath-miR774b-5p". Its record names the gene ath-miR774b-5p. The record is from miRBase by way of RNAcentral. Lineage: Eukaryota; Viridiplantae; Streptophyta; Magnoliopsida; Brassicales; Brassicaceae.
UGAGAUGAAGAUAUGGGUGAU